RNAcentral lists this ribosomal RNA (279 nucleotides) under uncultured bacterium. RNAcentral's name for it is "partial 16S ribosomal RNA". It matches the Rfam family "Bacterial small subunit ribosomal RNA", at positions 506 to 784 of the family's 1533-position model. The record is from RNAcentral.
UGCCAGCCGCCGCGGUAAUACGUAGGGUGCGAGCGUUAUCCGGAAUUAUUGGGCGUAAAGAGCUCGUAGGCGGUUUGUCGCGUCUGUCGUGAAAGUCCGGGGCUUAACCCCGGAUCUGCGGUGGGUACGGGCAGACUAGAGUGCAGUAGGGGAGACUGGAAUUCCUGGUGUAGCGGUGGAAUGCGCAGAUAUCAGGAGGAACACCGAUGGCGAAGGCAGGUCUCUGGGCUGUAACUGACGCUGAGGAGCGAAAGCAUGGGGAGCGAACAGGAUUAGAUA